UUCUAGAAUUCUCCAAAUUGUUUUCAUUAAUGGAAUUGAAAGUUUUCAUUCCUUAGGAUUUAUUUUGCUUACCAAUGGUUUCAUACUUGGAUGCCAAAAUGACUUUUUAUAAUAGUCUUAGAUGGCCAACAAAUAAUGCAAUCUGAUUUUGAAAAUUGGCCUUUUACGAGUUCUUCGGCACAAAGCAGAAUCCACUGUACUCAGGAAAAAAGUACCUGGAAGUUCUUGAUUUACUUAAACCUGCUUGAACACAAAGAUCACUCAAAACCUCCCUUAACCUAAACAUGCAUAACUCUCCAUCAAACUCCCAUAAAACCUUCAAAAAUCAAGAAAGGAAGUUCAGGAUCUUCACUUACCUCUUCCAAACAAGAGAAUAAAGGAUCCCAACGUGGAGAUAUGGAGAAAUCCUCUCUCAAAGUCUCCAAGCUUCCAAACUUUGCUCUUUUGCUAAAAAACUUCAAAAACACAUGAAAAUCCAUCAAAACCAUGAACACUGCAGAAUCCACUGUACUCAGGAAAAAAGUACCUGGAAGUUCUUGAUUUGGAACUAACUUCUUUUAUCUCUCUUCCUAUAUAUUUGAGUUAAUUUCUCCAGAAAUAUAAGUUUCCUGUUUCUUAUAUACAUUUGCACUAUGAUGAUUCAGACUUAGUAGCUGGCAUGUCAAGGUAACAUGUUACAGAUGUUGCUUCUGUUAAUAGCAGAUGGAAAAUUGAUUUGCAGAUGUUAUAUUUUAUUUUAUUUUCUAAUUAAGUAGAUUAUAAAGAUAGAUGGAAAAUAACUAACUAGAUGGUAAAGUGUUAACUUUGUUACUACUGAAUAUGUGAAAGGUUCUUGAUUUACACCUAUCCAUUAAUUGACUUAUUUAUGUAUUACCUAUAAUAACUGAAUUAAGUUUUAAAUUACUACUUUUUAUAUAUACACAAAAAGGCUAAAAGGCCAAAUUUACCUCUAAACUAUACAACGGGGCUGAAAAUGCCAAAUUUUAUCUUUCAAUCCAAAUUUACCCUAAACUAUUAUUAAGAGGCCAAAUAAGGCCCUUAUUUGUUAGGAUCUUAGAGUGCAAGCUACGCUCUCAUCAAUUUUUAUUUAACCUUUUAAUGAUAGUUUAGGGGCAAUUUUGGACCAAUAUAGUUUAGGGGCAAUUUUGGACCAAAAGAUGAAAUUUUGCAUUUUUGACUCCUGCUGUUAGUUUAGAGGCAAAUUUGGUCUUUUUGCCAAAACAAGUCAUGAUCAUUGAUUUUUGUUAAAUUUUAUUUUGCUCAAGUCUAAAUUUCUAAUGAAGAUAAAACUUUCUUUGAUGUUACUUUCCAGUUAUUAUGUAUUUUACUGAAAAUAAUUUCAAAAAUAAGGCAAUAAAAUCUGGCAAACUAAUGCUUCUUAUUGUAAAUUUCAUAAACAUCCUAGCAUAAACCAUAAUUUUCUUCCACAAAUGAGCAAAAACACCAAUAAUAAAGACAAAUAACUAACCCUUUGCAAAAUGUGGAUGUAGAAGUGUGAUUAAUUCCUCUUCUUCACUUGAAAUAAAUCUUAGCUAAAUGAUGAUAUUAUCUCAAGAAAUGAAGGUGUGUAAAAGAUGGAAAUUCGGGAGAAACAGAAGGAAAGUGAAAACCAAGAAAGAAAACAUGCUUCUUGUCUCUGCUCUCAAAAGGAGCUUCUGCCCAUGUGAGUAACAGGCUAACAGCCAUUACCAUUUAAUGGCUAAUAUUAGCCAUUACCAAGACCAAUUUUUCUGUCCAUUAUUUAAUGUGGAUAACAGUAAGUCCCCCC
Molecule: long non-coding RNA, 1768 nt
Filed under: Manihot esculenta (cassava)
Lineage: Eukaryota; Viridiplantae; Streptophyta; Magnoliopsida; Malpighiales; Euphorbiaceae
Description: long non-coding RNA (MESC_LNC003077)
Source: RNAcentral